GCCCCCGUAGCUCAGUUGGAUAGAGCAUCGGUUUCCUAAACCGAGUGCCGCAGGUUCGAUUCCUGCCGGGGGUA
Molecule: transfer RNA, 74 nt
Filed under: Candidatus Zixiibacteriota bacterium
Lineage: Bacteria; Pseudomonadati; Candidatus Zixiibacteriota
Description: tRNA-Arg
Rfam family: tRNA
About the family: Transfer RNA (tRNA) molecules are approximately 80 nucleotides in length. Their secondary structure includes four short double-helical elements and three loops (D, anti-codon, and T loops).
Source: RNAcentral